GGGAGUGUAGCCUAAUGGAUAGGCAUCGAUCUUCUAAAUCGACCAAUGUAGGUUCGACUCCUACCACUCCUGCCA
Molecule: transfer RNA, 75 nt
Filed under: Nostoc sp. 106C
Lineage: Bacteria; Bacillati; Cyanobacteriota; Cyanophyceae; Nostocales; Nostocaceae
Description: tRNA-Arg
Rfam family: tRNA
About the family: Transfer RNA (tRNA) molecules are approximately 80 nucleotides in length.
Source: RNAcentral